CCAUGGUGCUUUGGGGCCUUCUCAAGUGUUGUAAUUUCCCAAGGAAAGGGACUCAUCUACAAAAAGAUGUGGGUCUUCGCAGAUCUGAUUGUCAGCGCUGCCCACCGUUGACGCACUCUUCGAUGACUCAGCGGCUGGGUCUUCUGCAGGCACACAGGAACACACAGAAAACUGCUGAGUCUUCUGAACGUACAGAAGUGAUAGCAUUGCAGUAGGCCACGGAGGGGCUGACCCAUGGGCCUAAAUCCUGAAGAGCGAACAACCCAGAAUCAAGUCAGAGCCAACUGGCGCUGGCCAUGAAGUGUGAGUGAGAAAUUAACCUUUCUUGGUGUGAGCUGUGGAGCUUUUAGAGGUUGCUACCGUAAGCAUAACCGGGUUUAUACUGACAGAUACUGGCCUCCACACCUGUGUUUUCUUUUUUUGCUCAGAGAAAGAAGAGUCCUUCCUUCUGCCUCAGGUGAAUCGCUCUCAUCAGUGCUCUGGGUCCAUCCCUCCCUGCCCACCCCCAUUCAGUCUCCCCUGGUCCAGCUCAAUUAGACAUCAUCUCUCUUCUGAGUCUCUAAACACCCCCUUCCUGUUGACUUCUUCUUGGCACAUAGACAUAUUUGGAUUUCUCUUCUUUUAAAGAACAAAACGGAAAGAGCCCAACUUCCUUUCCAGAUACCACAAUAUCGUUCUCCUUUUCCAGAAAGAGAGGUCUCUGCCUCCCAUCUCUGCUUUCUUUCCUCUUUUUACCUACCUCAGUCUGUGUGGCACUGAGCCUUUGGCCAGACAAGCUGGCAGACUCAAUGGUUAUAGUUCACAGAUACUGGCUAGUAAACCCAGUAAAAAGAAAAACAACAACAACAACUUUCUUUUCUUCCUUUAACCAUUAUCCCUCUUGUGUUUCCCUUUGACACCAGGAUGACAGUAUUUUCUCCAAAGGAAGUUGGAACCUAUCAUUCCACAGUUCCUUUUAGCAUGGAACUUGACUAUAGGUCCCAGAAGAAACCAUAUGUCAUCUAUCCCAAAAUUUACCCAGACCUGGACUAGGUGUCUCUUUCUUUCCCAGGGGUGAAUUUUCUGAUAAACUAUAGCUUCUGUUAAUCAGAAACUAGGGAACAUUCUGGAUCCUGUCUGUAGCCAGGGGUGUUAAUCAUACAAACCCGUGGCAAACUUCAGCUCCAAAGAGCCUUUCCACAUUUUUCAGAGGGGACCAAGGGGCUCCUCUUGCAUAGUGGGAUCCCUGUGGCCUUCUCUGAAAUUCAGAAUUCUGAGUUGGGCUCGUGGACUGGAUUUCCCACAGAUACUUCGUGCUAUAAGCUGCAUAUUAGGAUAUUAAUCUGCUGCUCAAAUUCAUCCAAACUCAGUGAGAAUGAAUGUGAGCACUACCCUGAAAACUGAGCAGUGCGUCUGUAGAUACUAUUCAAUUAAAAUAAUCCCAUUUAAUUAAAGCUCAUGGUCCUUGCCAAGACUUUAAAUGUUCUCUUCUGGUGAACCACACCUAUGAUACCAUAGACACAAUAAACUGUUCUAGAUUUUCUUUUGUCUCUUGAGGUCCCACCAACCUUGUGGGAUAAUCAAAAACUUGUGAAACAAACCACAUGGUUUAGGACUUACGAUCUUCUCUCCUCUUCUCUUCCCAGAUCCUCCCUUCUCAAGGUUUCAUUGAGACUCACUUCAGUGCCCUGAUUGCUCUCCGAUUUUGGCGUCAUUGUCUCUGCUCCAUCCUCUGGCUGAUGGUGAGGUUUUCUAGCAUACUUGCCAUCCUCCUGCAGCCGCAUGUCCUGAACUCAUGCUCGUUCAGUGGUUUUGUACUUUUAUGAAAUGUGGUGCUGUGUGAGGCUCUUGGACCCCCAGUAAUUAUAGCUCACAAUACACCCUAAAAAGAAUUCUGGUUCUUGCAGUUGUCUCAUCUCAGAUACUUAGGACAACUUCUCAAGGGCUUCCUUAGCUAGAGGACAUUUGAAUGGUACCAUCCUGUCUUAAGAAGGUCUCCCUCACUUUUCUCAGAAAGAAUGCUUUGGGCUCCAGGAAAUAAGCUACUAUUAAAAGUGGCUUAAGGAAUAAGGGUUUAAUUUCAUCCACAACAGGGAUGGUUUUUCUAGGGUGGGCUCAGUAACUCAAGAAUAUCAAGAUUCUGGCUCUUCUCCAUUUUCUCCGCUCCAUUACCCUCAAUGUACUGAAGACCCGUCUUUGUCACACAAGUCACAAGAUGAUUGCUACAGCUCUAACUAUCAUGACCUCACACAAGAGUACACAGAAGCAAGAAGAUAAAGUGGAGUUUUGUUUUGAAGGUGUCUGUUAGAUGCAAAAAUCUUUUUCAAGAGGUCCCCUUGGACUUCCCUUGGGCCCGACUGGCCCGAGCUGGAUGAACGCCCGUGCCCCAGUCGUAGGGAGGAUGAAAAAGUGAGAAUGCUGGCACGCCCAAUUUGUAGAAUGGGAGGAAAGCUCCACCUGCAAGAAAGAAGGGAGUUAGGAAUGUCUAUUAUGAGGCACCUGGCUGGCUCAGAUGGUUGAGCUUCUGCUCAGGUCAUGCUCAGGGUCCUGGUGUCGAGCCCCACAUUAGGCUCCCUGUUCAGCAGAGAGUCUGCUUCUCUCUCUCCCGCUUCCUCUCCCCCCAUCCCCCACUCAUGUGCU
Molecule: long non-coding RNA, 2619 nt
Organism: Mustela putorius furo (domestic ferret)
Lineage: Eukaryota; Metazoa; Chordata; Mammalia; Carnivora; Mustelidae
Source: Ensembl